Molecule: ribosomal RNA, 1150 nt
Filed under: Grapevine stolbur phytoplasma
Lineage: Bacteria; Bacillati; Mycoplasmatota; Mollicutes; Acholeplasmatales; Acholeplasmataceae
Description: bacterial SSU rRNA
Rfam family: Bacterial small subunit ribosomal RNA
Source: RNAcentral
UUUUAAGACCUAGCAAUAGGUAUGCUUAGGGAAGAGCUUGCGUCACAUUAGUUAGUUGGUGGGGUAAUGGCCUACCAAGACGAUGAUGUGUAGCCGGGCUGAGAGGUCGAACGGCCACAUUGGGACUGAGACACGGCCCAAACUCCUACGGGAGGCAGCAGUAAGGAAUUUUCGGCAAUGGAGGAAACUCUGACCGAGCAAUGCCGCGUGAACGAUGAAGUAUUUCGGUACGUAAAGUUCUUUUAUUAGGGAAGAAAAGAUGGUGGAAAAACCAUUAUGACGGUACCUAAUGAAUAAGCCCCGGCUAACUAUGUGCCAGCAGCCGCGGUAAUACAUAGGGGGCAAGCGUUAUCCGGAAUUAUUGGGCGUAAAGGGUGCGUAGGCGGUUAAAUAAGUUUAUGGUCUAAGUGCAACGCUCAACGUUGUGAUGCUAUAAAAUCUGUUUAGCUAGAGUUGGAUAGAGGCAAGUGGAAUUCCGUGUGUAGUGGUAAAAUGCGUAAAUAUACGGAGGAACACCAGAAGCGAAGGCGGCUUGCUGGGUCUUAACUGACGCUGAGGCACGAAAGCGUGGGGAGCAAACAGGAUUAGAUACCCUGGUAGUCCACGCCCUAAACGAUGAGUACUAAACGUUGGAUAAAACCAGUGUUGAAGUUAACACAUUAAGUACUCCGCCUGAGUAGUACGUACGCAAGUAUGAAACUUAAAGGAAUUGACGGGACUCCGCACAGGCGGUGGAUCAUGUUGUUUAAUUCGAAGGUACCCGAAAAACCUCACCAGGUCUUGACAUGCUUUUGCAAAGCUGUAGAAAUACAGUGGAGGUUAUCAAAAGCACAGGUGGUGCAUGGUUGUCGUCAGCUCGUGUCGUGAGAUGUUGGGUUAAGUCCCGCAACGAGCGCAACCCUUGUUGUUAAUUGCCAUCAUUAAGUUGGGGACUUUAGCAAGACUGCCAAUGAUAAAUUGGAGGAAGGUGGGGACGACGUCAAAUCAUCAUGCCCCUUAUGACCUGGGCUACAAACGUGAUACAAUGGCUGUUACAAAGGGUAGCUAAAGCGUAAGCUUCUGGCGAAUCUCAAAAAAGCAGUCUCAGUUCGGAUUGAAGUCUGCAACUCGACUUCAUGAAGUUGGAAUCGCUAGUAAUCGCGAAUCAGCA